Molecule: ribosomal RNA, 253 nt
Filed under: uncultured bacterium
Lineage: Bacteria
Description: partial 16S ribosomal RNA
Rfam family: Bacterial small subunit ribosomal RNA
Source: RNAcentral
UACGGAGGGAGCUAGCGUUAUUCGGAAUUACUGGGCGUAAAGCGCACGUAGGCGGCUUUGUAAGUUAGAGGUGAAAGCCUGGAGCUCAACUCCAGAACUGCCUUUAAGACUGCAUCGCUUGAAUCCAGGAGAGGUGAGUGGAAUUCCGAGUGUAGAGGUGAAAUUCGUAGAUAUUCGGAAGAACACCAGUGGCGAAGGCGGCUCACUGGACUGGUACUGACGCUGAGGCGCGAAAGCGUGGGGAGCAAACAGG